Oryza glumipatula is the source of this 180-nucleotide non-coding RNA. The record is from Rfam. Lineage: Eukaryota; Viridiplantae; Streptophyta; Magnoliopsida; Poales; Poaceae.
AAUAAGUAUAGUUUUGCACUAUUUAUGUUAAACGUUUUACCGUUCAUCUUAUUUAAUUUUUGUUAGAUGAUUAAAUAUGAAUAGUACUUUAUAUGUGAUUAUUUUUUAAAAAAAUAUAUAAUUUUUUAAAUAAGAUGGACGGUCAAAAGUUGGACAUGGAUAUUCACUGCUGCACUUAUU